AUGGAAGAGGAGGAGGAUCUUGCAAUGAUCCUAUCUAUGCACAUCAAUAAAAAACCGAAGCACGGUGGUUCGAUUAUGGGUCGGCAGAAAAUUUGGAGGGAUAGGAUCGAUGUCCACAACAAAUCGAUGAUGCACUAUUUUGUGGAGAAUCCCACAUACCCCGAGUCAUACUUUCGUUGCCGGUUUAGGAUGAGCACCGAGUUGUUUAGGCGCAUUAUAGAGAAACUAGCGAGCCAUGACCAGUUUUUUCAGCAGAGGAGGAAUGCUGCCGGAGAGCUCGGACAUAGCACCUUUCACAAGGUGACAGCCGUUUUGCGUAUGUUGGCAUACAGUAUCUCCGCUGAUCUAGUUGAUGAUCACUUGGCCAUGGGUGAGAGCCAAGCCAUAAUGUGUGUCAAGCGCUUUGCAGUCGGAAUUAUGCAAGUGUUUGACCCGGAGUAUUUGAGAUCUCCCAAUGCUGAAGACGCCGCAAGACUAUUGGAGAUGAACAAAGCUCGCGGGUUCCCAGGUAUGCUUGGCUCAAUAGAUUGCAUGCAUUGGAGUUGGAAGAAUUGUCCAAAGGCAUGGCAUGGGCAAUUCCACGGCCAAAAAAAGGGUUCCACUAUAAUCCUUGAAGCGGUGGCCGAUCAAGAGACUUGGAUUUGGCAUGAUUUUUUUGGAAUGCCUGGAUCUUUGAAUGACAUCAACGUUGUCCACUGGUCACCACUGAUGAAUAAGAUUGCAAAUGGUGAACUGCCACCGGUGCAGUUUGUAGCAAAUGGCUGUUCAUACAACUAUGGGUACUAUCUUGCGGAUGGCAUCUACCCAAAGUGGCAAACAUUUGUGAAGCCGUUGAAAAAACCGAAAGGUAAGAAAAAUCUUGAUUUCCACAAUGCUCAGGCGGUGGCUAGAAAAGAUGUGGAGAGAGCUUUUGGGAUUUUGCAAGCCCAAUUUGCUAUUGUGAGAGGACCGGCUAGAUUUUUGAAUAAAAAAUGCUUUGGUACAUAA
Molecule: ribosomal RNA, 987 nt
Filed under: Triticum aestivum (bread wheat)
Lineage: Eukaryota; Viridiplantae; Streptophyta; Magnoliopsida; Poales; Poaceae
Description: partial small subunit ribosomal RNA
Source: RNAcentral